Zea mays is the source of this 1803-nucleotide long non-coding RNA. RefSeq lists it as uncharacterized. The transcript has 2 exons. The record is from RefSeq and is a predicted model, not a curated record. NCBI's taxonomy places the organism in Eukaryota, Viridiplantae, Streptophyta, Magnoliopsida, Poales, Poaceae.
AGACAUGGUAUAAUUAAUGUUGUUACUGCAUAGCAAAUAUUUAUACGAAGCUAACACAACUUGAACGGAGAAAAUCAAAGUUAAAAUAAUUAAGUUAUGAAGUUUACAAGUGUUUGGAUUUAUUUUUAUACCUAAAAAUCAAUUUCUGGGAUUUAUUCAUGGAAUUUAAUAGAAUUUGGACCGAGGGAACAAAAUCACGAGAGUUCAGGGUCCAAACCCUAAAUUCCAGGACCCCAUUCCAGUAGUCUUUACCCUGGGUUGGAUGGAGGAUUAUUUUUGAAAUACUUCAGGGUCUCAUUUGAUAAUGUGCGCGGCUGACGCAACACAGAAAAUCCUGGACCGCCAGAUCUAGAUCCGAAGGAUCAGAUCACGUUGUCGAACCGUUAUCCUAUGAUCUAAUCCCACCCGCUCAUAGCCGAUCCAACGACCAUGAUGUCCGCCCACACAGCGUUAUUUUUUUCUAAUCUGGACCGUUCAUAAACAAAUCAUCGGCACACGUCUAUCUCCUUUCUCCACACUGCUACCCGAGCCCACGUCGACGGCGUGGGCCUUUCCUACGGCGGCGCCAUCACCAGGCCCCCACAACCCACGACCCGGCACCCAGAACUCCCAAACGAAAGAUGCUACAUGGAGCAAAGACAAAGGCGAGAUUGGAGGAAAGGUUCUCACCGUGAACUGUGCGCGUAGAAGCUCGUCCAUGGCCAUAGGCAGUUCUGCGGCGGUGGAAUUGCUCUGUCGGGCAAUUGCUCCAGCCCAGAGAGCUCCCGCACCCAUCCACUCUCUCGAACAAGAUCCAGGCCCUCCGGCGAUCACACGAAAGCCAGCAAACAGCUGGAGUCGUAGCCCUUGGAUGCGCGUGCCGACUUAUAUGCAGUCGAGGUGAGAGUUGGUUACGCCAGCUGGGCACCUCCGCGCCACACGCGGGACGUUCGCUGCGUCCGUGAAGACGGGGAGGGAAUUCACCGCCAGGACGCCAGGUACGCCGCCGGGCACCGGCCCCCUCCUCCCUCCCUCCUCCCUCUUCCCUCUUCCCUCUGCAGUCUGCACAAACACGACGCGACGCAGAGAGCUCGCUAGCUCGGCCCCCUCCUGGCCUCCUCACAGAGCCGCCAGCCUCCGAGCAGAGCGCACAAACCCAAGGCAGCGCCGGCCCCCUCCUCCCUCUUGCGCAAGCCCCACUGCGCUGCUCUGCUCUCUGCGCAAGCCCCACUACACUGCUCUGCACAAGCCGCCAGUGCAAGCCGCCGCCCGCCAGUGCCCAGUGCAGGCACACCUAGGUGAUCUAAGUUAUUAAUCCUUGUCAUAGCAUGUCUAUUUUUUUAAUCAAAGCUUCCUUUCUACUGGGUUGGUUUAUUUACUUUAAAAGUAGUUAUGAAUUGUUUUUUCAAGACGUGUUAGGAAAUAGGCAAGGAAUCUUCGCUAUUCAGCUGGUUAUCAUCUAUGAUCCUCUAAACUCGAUAUUUCUUUCUCAUGUGCUUAUACUCUAUACCUCUUUAGAAAAUUUGCGUGGUGAUUUAUUUCUUUUUAAUAUUGCUUGUAUGUUUAUUUCAUGGUUGUUUAUGUAUGGACAUGACUAUAGUAUGCAACUGUGUUCUUUGUGCUUAUAUGAUAUUAGAUUCGAGUUGAAAGUCGUUUCAAAUCCUACAUAAAGAGUAUGGAUAAAUCAUGGAUCACAAGUGAGGCUAGGUACAAAGCAACUUUUCAUAGCAACUCUUAUGUUUUUCUAUAGUUAUAUUGAUAUGUAACAUAGGAACUGUAUGUAGGGAGACAAAGGUUUAUAAACAAGGGGUGAAUGGUUUUCUA